GUGGGGAGAAGGGCAUGUAAAGGAGAGCUCAUUGGAAAAGAUAUUCUGGUUAUUUAUUUAUAGUUUACAUACGCAAAGAGACCUUUAAAAAGGCUUUGAUAAGGGUGGCCAGUUUCUUCAGAGUUUAGCUGACCUUUAAAGGAGGUUUCAGUUUGCUAUUGUACAGGUGUUUGGGGGCCAAGGGCUGGAGACUUGGAAUUCUGCUUGUGCAGAGAGCGCGUUCCUCUGGAGAAACCCAAGCACCUAUCUUUCCCCAGGCAACCUGCGACGGACCGCUCAGUUCUUUGCCUGCCCUAGGUCUCUCCCAGCCAGGAGGCUGCAAUCAGCCUGGAGCUCGAGCUCGGCAGGUGGGAGGAUGCGAAUACCUGAGAAGAGUACCUGUGGCCUGGCAGAAACAGAGCUGGGAGGAGUGACAAACAGCUCCUGGCAGUGGUGGGUCAGAGAAGACGUAGAGGAGAUGGUCAUUCCAAUGUGACAGGCGGCCUGACCUGGGGAAGAGGGACUUUGAUGGCUGGAGAUGGCUGGAGCACACAUCCCGGCAGGUGAAUUCCAGAGAGGCAAAUGCCCUGGGGCGGGCACACCGUACUUUUGAAACAGCUCACACUGCAGGACACUGGACAUGGGCUCCUCCCCCACCCAGCUCAGGUGUCCCCCUCCUACAGAGUCCUGUCCAGCUACUCCCUCCCCCCACCGUCCCCCAGGAACACAAGCCAACCCUCCAGCAAUCUGGGAAGAGAGGCUGAGACUCGAAACAGUGCACCCUGGGUCGAGUCCCCAGUUAUGCGUGGAUGGUCAGGGGAAGUUGUCUAACUUCAUUUCUAACUCGGUUUUCAGGGAACACGCACUCUCAAAAUGACCAAAAGUCAUUUUUCCUUUCCUUCCUAAGAGCCUGAUUCCCUGAUCACCCAGUUCUGCUUUUAAACAAAAUCAAAAACAAAGCAAAGCCAAUCUCAAAAAGAAAGGUUGAAUUUCAGGGUGUAAGGUGAUCGCCUUACAAAGUCUUUGAGCAGCUGCUUUUGGUAACCAGUAGAAAGAAUUACAUGCACCUCAUCAUCUCAAACUGAGAUGCAAAAGAAUUAGCUACUGGGUUUGGCUCUGAAACACUAUUGUUCUCGAUGCAAAAUUAGCCAGAAAUUAUUCUUUCAAUAUUAAUUUAGAGGCUCUUCUUGCAUGCCUGUAAAAAUGACACUGAAGCAGUAGAAAAAUGACUUCCUCCUGUGUUUUACUUGGAGGAGCGAGUGUGACGAAGAGGAAGAAUAUGAACUUGGCCUGCAAGUGAGCCAUGCUUUGGAAUUCGGGUGGGUCCAAGAAAAAGCACAGACUUCAGUGGAAAACACACAUGGGUGUGUGGCGAAUCCCUGUAAACUGUAAACUGUCUACAGGCUGCUUGAGCUGGCGUGGAGAGAAACCACAAAGCUCCCUGAAAUCAGAAGAGAGGGGCCAGAGAGCAAGCUUUACUCUCUGAGAGUCUCCCAGGUAUCCUGGGGCAGGGAUGCUGUGAUUAUUGGCUGUGGUUGCAGCCGGCUGACCUUGCCAUGGCAAAGCCCCUCCCAUUGCUGCCUGGGCCUCCUUAGGAUAGACAGCUCCGGGUCUGGGUGCUCCCCAGCCAGACCUGCAAACCCCCUUGUCUUCUGCCACCUGUUGCUCCCAGGGCCUUUGUCGAGUGGCUGCUGGAUUCUUCAUUGCGGUUCCCCUUCUUGGGCAGCUGGUCUCUCCUUUUCCUAUCAGCAUCUCUUAUCUAUCCUUCUGGCCCGUGGAGGCUCAGCUUUCCCAGCCCUUGCAGCUGACCUCUUCUGCAUUUCCUGUUUUGCAUCUUCUCCAUGUGGACGAGACCUAGACUAUGUGUGCCCGGUAUGUGUGCCCGGUGAAGCACCAGUCCCGUGCUGCGCUCUGACCUGAGCCUGUGUCUGAGGAAGGUGCCUCCUACUGCCCCAGUGACCCAGAAGACACCACACUGGAAGCGAGGGCUCCAUCCGCCCACCUUUGCAGAGUUCCACAUUGCCCCGGAGCUUGAACUUUCAGCUUACUGUGGUCCCAUCCAAGGCAAGGAAGCCUUACCAGCUCCCUUUCUCCAAGUGAGGCAACAGAGUCUGGGAGAUAAAGUCGCUUGUUCAAAGUCAGCAACCCAGUCACCUUUCAGACUGCCCCACCUCACCUUCAGGGGUGGCUCCAUGGGGUGGCUUUAGACAAUGUCCCCUGCACAAGCUUAAAGUCAGAAUGGGUUGAACCCAAGUCUGUCUGUCUCCAAAAAAUAAUCCUGUGUCUAUAGCAUUUUGCCUCCCUAUCACCAAAAUGCCCAACAUAGUGGAGCAUGAAUUAUAGCAGAUGAAUCUGGAAUCAUCCCAUUUCAUCAAAAUUAAUAGAAAAGGACAAAAAUCUGAAAGUCUGAUGAAAGUCGUAUUUUUAUGACAAGACCAACACAAAACUAUUUCCCAUUCUUUGCUCCUUAAUAAUGGGAUAUAAAGUUUACAAGAGUACCUGUAUUUAAGGCUGCUCAUAGAUAUUUUGUCACCCAGAUCCAACAUAAUUCCAUCCACAUUACAUGCAUUGUAAGCAAUUUCUUACAUACCAAAUAGGUUGCUAGCUGGAUUUCUCUGAGGCUUUCUAGGAGGCAGUGCCAUUCUUAGUUGGUGCAUUUGGAUCUGUCUGGACAUCAGGAACACCAGAAGAAAGUGAUCUCAGGCAAAUGGACCUUUCCAAGCCCUCAUGUAACAAAAGUAGAUUGAGAAUCUUCCAAGAAAAAAAUUGUUAAUCUGCUUAAUUAAGCCCAAAUUUCUAGUUCAGAUGAUCUCUGUGCUUUACUUUAAAUUUCACUUCUUGGAAAUCGGAUGAUUAAAAGGGUUUCAUAGAAAUAAGCCCAAUUCUCAUUCUCAAUACAGAAGCAACUGGAGUUGAGAGAGGUCAUAGGACUGGGUCAGGACUUUGCAGCUUGUAUAGGAGCUCACUCUUCAGGCAUUGCUUGGGACCUCUUACCAGGCUUGAUCUGCUCAUGCCUCAAGGAAUCUGAAGCAAAAAGAUGAACCCUACCCUGGGGGAAGCAAAAUUAUUAAACUGGCCUAUAGUUUGGAAGCAGAGAUGAAAGAAAUGAACCAAAAAGCCAUAUAUUAAACAUCUGCAAAAUUCAACAAGAUCCAUAAAAAUAGGACAGGUAUAUGUGCCAAUUUAAGUAAAUGAAAAUAGUUUCAAAACCAGAAUGAUUCCCAGUUUCUCAAAAUGGCUGAAAUGUGUCCCUGUUCCUUCUUUGAACUCUCCCAGGGCUACGGUGGCCUGCAAGGUAAAUCUUUCUCGGCUGAGCCGCGGGCACUCUGGUGUUUUAACCUACCUCUCCAACUGCCUGCCAACCAGGUCAUGGCCACACCAUGCAGAUUAUCCCUGCCCUGUACCGGAGGUUACUGUGGGGAUGAGCAAAACACCUGUGGAGCUGUACUUGGAGCGCACAUGAAAACCAUACGAGUUCCAUGCAACAUCAUGGAAGUCACCAGUGUGCUCCCAUUAACCUGUAGUGAGUGUCCAUCACAAGGGGCUGGCUUCAAGCAGAGUGGAAAACACCAGCGACCCACACUCACAAGGAGCACAGAACAGAAAGCACAGGGACCAGAGGCGUCUUUCAGAACUACUAAAGGAUGAAAUCACCGUUCUGAAAUUCUGGAACACUUGGAUAGACAGACAAUUUCGAACAUCUCAUGGGACCUCUGAUGGAUAAGGGGUAUUGUCCAAUAGCUUUAAAACAGUCCGGAUCUAUACACCCUGUGCCCUAGCCCCAGGGUCCUACAGGCUCUGUCCUUGCAAGCACUUGGGGGUCUCCAUGGUGGGGACAGGGAUUUCCCCCCAAAAGCGAAUGCCCCACCUUGCCUCCCAGGGUGAUUAGGGUAUGCUCUGCCCACUAGCCUAGCAUCACAAAGGCCCCACCCUGCAGGGGUCCCCCGCAGAACCCCUCCCCACCUGCCUUCCCCAGUUACCCGUGACCUUCCACUGAGCCUGUCACCACCACCUCCCCCUUAGACUCAGGGAGGUGACUCAGGGAAUGAACCCAGUGAGUCUGGAGCUGGCUAAUCAGCAUGGUGCAAGAGGAGAGGGGAAACUCCUAACCCUCAAAGGAGGUGUCCAACAGGGUACCCACCAUGAUCUCAGAAAUGGUUUUCCCACAUUUCACUUUUUUUUCUUCUAUUUCUAAUGGCAUAGAUUUUUACUGAUUUCAAGAAAACUUCCACUUUUAAAACUCAUAGUGUUUAAAAAUGAUUGAGCCCUACUUUGCCAUGUCCCAAAUAAAAGUACAAUAGUAGCAUCAUCCGUAAAGCAGCUGCUUUGCUCUUGCACCCUACCCUGUGAAGAGGAAACCUAAUUUUCUGCAUGCAAUUUAUCUGCACAGCUUACCUGUUUCAAUUGCCAUCUAUCACCAUGCAAAGUUUCAGGUAUAGAGCUAACUGAGAGUUAUACCGAAAACUUAUUUCAAGAGAAAAGCACCAGCCCUGCUUUUUAAAAAGCUGUUAACUACUCAUGUCCAAUAAAAUUUACAAAUAAAUUAUCUUCAGUUGGUAUUGGGUUUUGAACCUUCAAGACCCUGACUUAAUGAGAUGUGUAGCCAAGGGAGCUGUUGGAAAAGGUUUGUUUCUUUCAAUAUUCUCUAUAAUCUCAUUACAUGUGAAAGUCACAUUAGCAGUGAAGUAGUAAAAUUUUAGUGAACAACAGUAACUGGCUAGUAGCCCUCUUCCAACUGAUUAUAUGUUAUAUUUUAGUUUUCUAAGGGUCUAACUCAAGUCCUGCUUAACUCUCAUCCUCAGUUUUCGAGAGUGAGAGAAGAUGUCCUGAAUAUACUACCCCAAGUUCAUCUCAGCUCUAGGAAAUGAUUUACGUCUGCCCAGCUUUAUUUUGUAUUCCCAGGUGGUAAAAAGCUCAUUUUCCUCCCAAUACUUACAAAGUAAUUUUCCAAGCUUGAAAAUACUGGGAUGUAAGGAUCUCUAAUAAUUUUCUACUUGGUCAGUCCUAGUGUCAUAUCAAUGAUCUAUCCAUUACCCUAGGAAAUUACUCCCAUGGCUGGAGAUUUCCCCCACCAGAAUUCAGGUUGUAUACUUUCCAGGUGCAAUUUAUUUUAAAACCAGAAUGGCUCCCCAGGGUGGGAGAUGUGUGUGUACCACCCCAACAGACAGGGAGGAAGUUUUGAACGUCAAUUGUUAGACAUGCAAUAUAAAUGGGAGAGAAGUAAACUGACUUGCAGAAAGUUCCCUGUGUGUUCCACAUUCACCGUGGACUGGGCUGGAGGAGUACUUUGAGGUCAUUUCGUCCAGACCUCUCAUUUUACAGAUGAGGAAGACAGGAGUAAUUGAUAGGUAGGACCACUAAAUUACAGCUCUCCUCGGGCUAGAUGACAGAGUCAGUAGGCUUCUUAAUGCUCUUCGUGGCCGUGUGGAUUCUGUGAGCUGAGGGGUGUGCUCUCACCCUGAGCGCUGACAUUCUAUGGCUUCCAAUGUUUAUGUCUCUAAUAUGGUGCUGGUUAUCCCAUGCUCCCAUAAGUCCUCACCACCGAGGCUCGCCAGUCCUCAGCUCAGGACGCACACUCCUUCUGCAGGCAGCGGGGCACCCAGCCAUCUCGGGGUGCUGUAAGCGUGCAGAGCCCGGUUGGUGCACCCCCACAGAGCCCUUCUGUGGGCUGAAUCCUCUCCUCUUCUCUAGUUGCCAGCUACCUGGGUCUCAGGUGGGAUCCUCUUACGGUAAAGUACCAGACUCAGGCCCUUUACUGGGAUGACACAGUCUCCAAUGUCAGCCUCUACCCCUCUGCCUGAGAACUGUAACUUUGCUUAUCUUACUCCCUUUCCCCACACCUGGAACCUACAUCUCAUGAGCUCAAGCGCUUGGUCUGCCCUGCUACAUCUACCGGAUCUAGAACAGCCGGGCGUGGGAAGUGAUGAAUAAAUCCACAUCGAUGCAUGUGACCUCUGUCCUUUCCCUGUCUUAGUGAAACAGGUCAUCUCCUUUCGGAAACUUACCUCUCUGACAACAUUGACACAUCCUGGUCGUCCCUCAACUCUGUGACCUAUCGGUCACACCCUCGUUCUUGAAAUCUUGGCAUUUUAGCUGUCCACUCAGACAGAUUUAUUUAGCUAGUCAACCUCUGGCUGGUCUGCCUCCAGGGCUUUGCUGGAAAAUCUUCUCUGCCUGUCUUCAGACUAAGCUGUCUCCAAGGUUUCCCCUCCACUUCUGUCUUCUCCGGGUGUUUUUCUUUUUCGGAGAUAACCUUGGUCAAACUUUACUUCUCUGUUAAGCAAUUCUGAAGUUUCCUGUGUGCGCCCUAGAAAUAGCAAAGCAACCUCAAAGCAACCUCAAAGCAACCUCACCUUUCAGAGCGGAUCCCACAAGCUGCCCGCUGUGUUCCCUCACGAUCCCCACUUCAACCACAGAGCAAAGCUCCUCUUCAGCUCCUGGUCACCCACCACCUCCCCACAUCUGAAAGAUGCAUGAAUUUUACCUGGGGACGACCAACAUGACAAUCUACCUAGCUCACGUACUGCUCAGCCAAAUUCACCAGCCCCUAAUACACACUCUCACUGUGGCUACUCUCCUCCCUUUCCAUCUGACUUCCUAGAGGGGCCUGCAUCCUUUCUGUUCAGUGAGAAACUACGGUUCUCAGUUUGACCUCUUCUGCCUUAUGAACCUCAUUAAUAGUGCAGCUCCCAAUCUGGUCUGAUUGUAAAUUUUCUUGAGGUUCCCAUGAUUCUCAACCAUGGACACACAUUAGAAGCAAGUGAGGAGCUUUUAAAAAUUAGCAAGACUCAGACUCCCACUCUUAUGCUGUCUUCUGAGAACUUCCGGUUUGAAGGGCCUACACCAGAGCCAAGACAAUAGUGCAUUUUGAAUCUCCCCCCUUCUCGGAUACCUCCAAAACCCCAAGGCACUUAUGAUUGGAGAAUCCUGUAACCAGAUCAGGGCAGCAUCUUCCAAACAUGCUUUGCCCGCCCAUGCUAUUUGCCUGGGAAAUUUCCCUUGUCAGCAAUAAUUUUCCUUUCAUUUCUUCUUCCUAAGGAAAGGCAUAAAGGUUUCUUGGAUUCUUCGAGUUUGUAGAAAUGGGUUCUUCUUCUGGCAAACCUCAGAACAUUUUCAUACACCACAUUCAUUUGUGUGCACUAGGAAACUGUUACAAGUGGACAGUGCAGAGAAAAACCAAGCCAGGGUGUCUAAGCCCAAGGGGAUAGUCUUAUAUAGAGAGAGAAACACAUGAUCCUGUGAGUAUCAAGCUUUGCAGCAGGAGUAGAGAUGUAUCCAUGGGUCCAUGGGAUAUUGUUUAGGUAUAAAGGAGUCUAUCUUGCUGGGCAUAAAAUAUUAUGUCAUCUCCACCCUCACAUGGUGUACUGAGCAGGAACCAGGAUUCACUCACUUUUAUACAUUUCAAAGAAUACAGUGUCAAACGUUUGCUGGAUGAAUGAAUGGAUGGGUCAGUGAAUCUGUGGGUGGUUGUAAACUGAGAAUCAUGACAACUUAAGGAAACAGCACCAUAGCUUAGAGCUGGAGCUGGGAGAGAGCGGAUCGCCCUGGAGUUCAGUCUCAUAUCAUAAUUUUCAGUCCCAAGCAGUGCAUGAGCUAUACAAUUUCCCGUAAACCACCUACUUUUUUUUAAUUGUAAAGAGAAUAAAACCAAGCAAAAUAAAACAGAAUAAAGCAAAUCAAAACAACAACAGUAUAAGUGAUACAAGGUUUCAAAGUAAGUUAAUAGGAAAUCAUCAAUAGCUACCAUAUAAUGCCUCUUGUCUUCAGAAUAGCUGCCCAUCAGACAUAGGAAAAUCAAACAGAACAGAACAAACAGAACCAAAAAGACAAAACAAUGAACACAAUACAGGAUUUUGAAAUAAUAUUAUAGUAAAUCCAAAAUGACUACCAUAAUAUCUCGUUAUCUUUGAAAUGGCUACCAUGACUUCUGAUAUAAUAAAAUCAAACAAGACAAAACAAUAAAACCAAACCAUGAAAAUGAUACAGGACUUUAAAACAAGACAAUGGGGAAUUAACAGUGGCUAUCACCCUCAGGAGGAGAUCCCCACAAAUGUUACAGUGGACGUUGUUGUUGUCAAAUAGAUGAUGAGACAAACCAAGCUUUAGGCCUACAAAUCAGUGAAAAACUAAACAGUGCAAGGGUGGAGUUGUAUUUUACUUCAAUAGCUAUCAUCUCAGCCUGUGUUUCUCCAGAUCAGCCAGUCACUCAGGGGAAGGAGGACCCUGGCUCUUCCUGUCUCCCACCGGGUAGGGGCCGGUGUCUGGUUUUCCUCCCUGUGGCCUGCACAUGGCACCGACUCACAGGACGAGGUGGGCUUUUUGUUCUCCCUGCAGCCCGUGAGUGGUGCAGACCAGACCACCCAUGUUGUAGUUUACUUAAAACGGUAGUGGGGUUCGCAUCCUAGAAACUCAGCCCUGUAUCUCAUAACUGAGAAGGUAGAAAUGGUCUAUUCCAGGUAACCCUCAGCCUCUUCAGUUAUAGUAAGCAAACUAAAGGAGCUAGAGAGGAAACAUGCUGUACGAUGGCAGGAAGAACUGAAGGGGCUUAGGGGGAACCCCUGCCCACCCGACAGACCUGAGAGCAUCGCCUCCCCCGCACUUGACCUUCUCACGGGUCUCUAGGUACUGUUGGGCUUCCUAAAGAUGUUACUGAUUAGGCUGUGCAUUUGAAAAAUGCACCAAGUAAGUGCAGGCGGAGGUGUGGAAGUAAUUUCCAGGCUAACCUUGUGUGUGUGGCUUGGUGUGGGGCCGUGUGAACUAAACAAAGGAUGAGCCACUGUGUGUAUCACUGUAACUGUGCUUCUCCACUGGGAAUUCUUCAUCCUUUGGGUAGCCAGAGAUGGAUUAAAUGUGCCCUGCAGAGCAAACCACCUCUCACAGAGAGAAGCCACCUCUGCUGUCCAGGACACCAGUGAGUCACAACACAAGGGUCAGCUCAGCAUCCAAGGGUGUCUGAGUCAGAAGAGAUGAAACGAGGUGCUUCUGCACUCUGAGGGUUUCAGCACUGUGCAAACUCACCUCCCCUGGAGACUGAACAAUGUGCAAAUGCAAAUGGGCUCACAAAAGCAAUUUACCAAAGGCUACAUAUAGCGAAAAAGGCAUGGGCACCACACACGUGUCGUGGGCCAUGUUCUUGACUUUCAUUCAUUAUUAAUGGAGGGACAGGGACUCUGUUCAUGGAUUUCCACACCAACCUAUUAAUGAAUUAAGAAAACAUUUUUUAGAGCACCCACCAUUGCCAGGGAAUUGUGUGAAAGAUGGCAUAGUGGGCGUAGCAGUGGACAGGCCCCGUGGCUGCCCUUUGAGGACUUGCUGUUCAGGGUGGACAAACACAUAGAGCCUGGAGCACUGUGUCACCAUGGGAAGACAGGGACAUCUCACUUUCUGGGGUAAAGAGGAAGAGAGGCCUUCAACGACUCUGGAGGGUCAACUGGGCAGGUGCCUGCUGAUUGGAGGACCGGUUUCCCAGGCAGGGCAGGCAGAGGAGAGGCGGCAGGUGGAAAGGAGCCAGGCAGCCUGGGAGUGUGGGGAGGUAAAAGCAGCUUUCCUAACUGGACCAUGGACAGGGUGGGGAGGAGGGGACAUCCAGCGAUGUGGCCAGUGUGGUAACCGGGGCCUACACCAGGACAGCAGUUGGGGAUUCAGCUUGUCAUACAAGGAGUGAGGCCCUUUGGAAUGGAUGCAGGGAUGGACCUGAGUUAGGCGCUUUGACCUCUGCAGACUGGGCAACAGGAGCCAGUUCUCAGUUGUGGAAGUUUGUGUUUUCGUAUCAGAGAGCUUAGUCUUACACCCAGGAGGGCUGAGUGGGAAGGGCCAGGAAGAGGCCUGGGGGCAGCUAGCGAGAUGCUGGGAUGGGGUGGAGGAGAAGACCCUCACAUCUGUGCCCAGGAUCCUGGAAAAGGCAGUGACGUGGGUGGAAGCAGAAGUGACACGGGAGUUAGAACCAAAGACUGUGGCCGCAGACCUUGCAGGAAGCGGGGUAGAGAGGCCGACCGAGGGCCACUGCGGGGCUGCUCACAGGAGUGCAGGCCACAGAAGCAGGGGCAGGUGGGGGGGGUCACUGCCAGCUCAUGCUGACUUCGCGGGACUGAGGCCAGCUGCGCAGGCCGCAGGGCACGGGGACACCACGCACUCACCUCUGCUUGGCCCCUCACCCCCUCAGUGCACCAUUCUCUGUGAGGUCCAGGGCUUCUUUCCUUUGCUUCUGGGCUAUCACCUUCGCACCAUUUGAAGGCGGCAGAGCCCUGCCAGCCCCGGGCCCAGCGCUUAUAAAGUGAAAACAGGUGUUCACGCUCCAGGACACAGGCUCGGGAUUGGCUUCCAGCCAGCCAGACCACGGUUUCUGCCACUCCGGCAGACUCCAGCCCACCGUGGCUUCCGUUAAAUAAUUCCUUUAUUUUGACCAGUGUCUCCCCAGAGUUACUCUGAAGUGUGAAGUUAGACGUAUGCCAGGUGGGAUCCACAAACACAGUGCAUGUUUCAUUUUUAAGCCUCUAUUGCAGCAAGAGACACAUGGCCACACAUCCUCCCUGAGAAGCCUCCCCCUCACCCUGAACACGGAUAUCCGGGCUUUCUAAUGCAGCUCUGGAAGUCUUUCCCCCAUGGCCCUCUUUAGUUGUAUCACUCUCAAAGUUCUGACUCAGCUCAAGGCCUUUCUUUUGCCUGAUCAUUUUGACUUUGGGGAAAAAAUGUUAUGUUGUACAGGGCCAGGUCUGGUCCAUAAGGAAGGAAGGACACAGCGCCAUGUAUUCAUGGACCUGCCUUUGCCUUGAGGGCGCUUGGAGCAUCAGUAGCUAUUUUUGCUAGACUGCGCAAAGAUAGUCCAAAACUCACUGGAAAUCACACCUGCGUGGUGCAAGCCGGCUCAGAGAGGCAGAGAUGCAAAGUUCAAGUUAAACAGAAGUCUUUUGUUACAGGACAGAGAAACACAUAUUGUCGGGCAGGCUAGGAAAUUAAUUCAUUUGAUUCAGGGAGUGUGCAUGUGUGUGUGUGUGUGAGAUGGUCGUCUUAUUUUGGAUGAGAGCCCCUGUAACCUUCCUGACACCAAGAUGUUGCAAGGCUGCUGAUGCAUGGUGGUAUCUGUCUGUAGUCAUCGUGGAAGGGACCCAUGACUUAGUGCUCUUCUGGCCAAUGUCAGCUCCAGGGGUGGUGGUCAGGACCUUGGUUUCCAGCUAUGUCUCCCAGAAAGAAAGUUUCCAGAUAAAAGCUGAACCUUGGAAAAGAAUUGCUGACUGCAGGUCCAUUUCGCAAUACUGUAUGGUGACUUAUAAACAAUGUUUUUUUCCCCAGUGAAGUCAGUUGAGACCAUGAACUUUCUCCCAUAGGCAAAGCCAUCUUUUCAGGAAGCUGCCUGGGGCCUCCUUCUCUGGGGGUAGGAAGGGAAAUCAGCUUAAACCUACUCCUGCCUUGCCUGGGUCGUGCUGAGGGCCUGUGGCUGCUGGAGAGUAAGGGCUACUCAAAGUGUGAGCUUUGGUGGUCUGGCCUGUGUGUCUAUGGGGGACUUGUUAGAGGUGCAGAUUCUUAGACUUCACAACCAACUCUCCAAACAUGAGCCUGCAUAUGUAAAUGACCCCUGGCGAACGUGGAUGGAUAUUGCAGUGUUCUAAGCAUUGGUCUAAACUGUGGAUUUGCAAUCUACAACCACCCUCUCCCCCAGACAGAGGAAAACACUGAAGCACACACACAUGUAUGCAUACAUUUUUGUCUUGUAUUAAUGGAUUGUGCACAUUUUAAUGUAGAGUAUACACAUUUAAGAGGACCAAGUAGGAGCUAGAUUUGAAUACUCUGAUUAUUUUGUUAUUGAGCCUAUGUGGAUUCCUGCUGUACACAGGACUGAAGAAGGUUCAGUCCCUGGUGGGCUGGCUCCAAGGCAGUCAUGGCAUGGAGGAAGGUCCCAGUGGGGGAGAUGUGUAGCAGCCAGGAAGCGGGGGACAAGAAUUACACUUCGGGGUCAUGCGCCCAGGGACCCACUUUUGCCUGCGCCUCACCUUCUAGCAGCCCCCUGGGCCAUGAACUCAUCAGUGUUUUAACCCUGAGAAGCACAGCACCCCAUGCUCCAGUCCAGUCCCCAUGCUUCCUAAGCCCUACCUCUGAACAUGGGGGACUUUUGGGGUGUGUUUAGAAUGGAAUCAUUAUGCUCAGUAUUCUUAAAACCAAACAAUAUGAAACACACCUGAAAGUUAAUUCACUGGACUAAAUUCACUGUGUGUAGACUCAUGGAUUUUGUUUUGGGCCAUUUGAGAAACACAGAUCUAUUUUUUUCUUCAAUAUACAGCAGAAUAAUCUGUAAGCUAUGAAUCAAAUUCAGAAGUCCAAAUCUUCAUUUCUGCUGUGGCCAUUCGUGGUGAGUGUGCCCAGCUGUGCCCAGCAGUGGAGCGGUUUUCUCUCUGACCCAGAACACUGCAUAUAUUAUCUUUAAUGAGCUAUGGUCACUAAAUUCAGCUCCCUUUGGCACCAUUCUUUUCCUCCCUCAAGCAUAGUUGUCAUUCUAUGUCAAGUCUUGGUCGAGCAUUAGGGGUUAAAAGAGAAAUUAAACAUGCACCCCUUCCAAACUGGUCUUUUAGUAGGAAAGGGGAGUUCUAAAACAGUACAGCAGUACACUGUACGCUGUCAUAAGGUAUAGAAAACAUGUAAAAGGCAGAGAGAGGAUCAAGAUGAACUCUUUAACAGGAAGCAGAGGUGACAUUUCAGUUGGGCCUUGAGGGAUGAGUAAGAGUUUGCUAGAAGGCGCAGGGCAAAAAGGGACAGGGAAUGAAGUGAGCUGCCCACUGCGGUGGUGGGCAAGAAUCUUCCUUACAGCAGUCGAAGUGCAAACUCUCCAGCCAACUGAGGGAAGCCUCUCGUUAUCAUGGAGUAAUAGCCCUGACCAGUUACCGAAAGCGAGUUCUCAGAUUUGCAUAAUGAGAACGUCUCUGAGAGUGAACGCCUUCCUGGAUUUGGCCACAGUGGUGUGUGGAAAGUUUCUCAGCAGAGCAGUGGAAGGCUUCUCAUUUACAGUCAACCGUGGAAUGCUGGGGAACGCUCUCUGCUGGGAAAUUGAAUUUUCAGAUUAACUGCAUAAAAAUGGAAAGUCUAGUUGAAAACGCUCUCUAAUUUUGUUUUCUUUUGAAGAGAUAACUGCUGCUGGCAUUUUAGGGGCUUUCAUUUUAAUCUUACCUGGAAAGAAAAACAGAGAAGGAUUACACUGUCUAUUCAGCACUGCAGUUGCCUUGAAAAAGGUAUCUUUUGCUUUAAUUUUUAAAGACUCCAUACUAGUGCAGCUUAUAAAUAUUUUAUAAAUUUUAUUGGUGAUCUGAGUUGCUUUGAAUGUUUUAAUACUACAAAACAGAGCACACCCUUGUAUGUAAUUCUGUUGCACAUUUCUUAUUAGUUCCUAGACUUACUGGGUCUAAGGCUAUGCAUAAAUAGUUUAAAACUUUGAGUGCACAUUGUCAAAUUGCUCUCCCCAACAAAGCCGUGCCAAAUUACUCUACCAGAUGCCACGCAUGGUGCUAUUCAUGUCUGCAGACUCGUCCACAGGGAGCCUUGGGAGGUGGAAAGCAGGUCACGGCUGCUUUUGUGUUCCUCAAACCCCAAGCUUUUCCUUGGUCUCACCUGUCAGAGACCUGUGCUUUCUGAUGCCAAGACCGCCCAGGGCUGAGGCUGGGGAAACGGAGCCACUGCCAUGAUUACGUUUGCAGACGUAAGUGCUGAAGGUGCCCUCCUCAAGCCAUUGGCUCUACAGGACAUUGGUUCGAUUAGCACAAAUUGCAGGUCUCAUGUCUGUUCAGGGAUCUCCCUGGCAGUCCAGAGUGCACACCCACAAACCCGGACCAGGGAUCUCCCCCUCUACCUCCCUGCAGGAUCCUGUUUCUGUAUCAGGAUUCUGUAUAAAAUCAAGCUUUACUUGGCCAUAAUACGAGAACCUUCUAAGAACCCAUUUGUCCAAAGACACAUACAUGAUUUAAGAGAUCCAGCAUCCUCUGGCCAGUGAGUUACCGCCUCCAAACCGAUCCCACCUCCUUCCCAUGCCAGCAAACCAGGAGCUGUCUUUCAGACCUGUCUCUCUUCUCUUGUCCCCCAAAGCUGCUUGUUAGAGGGGCCCACCCGGGGACUCUACCCAGAAGGCACCACUCAGGGCUCCUGGCUGCCCUCAGGCUCCGACCCGAACAUCAGUAAUUUCAGCGAGGAUUACUGAAAGCACCAAUUAAACUCCCAACGUCUCUGAGCACCACCUCCAGUCUAUUCCACAUGUUGUCAAAAAUGAUCACUUUCCGAAGCAAGUCCAAUCCUGUCUUUUCCUUGAAUAAAACCCUGAGACUCUCUUCAUUCUGCUAGGAUGAAGUCCAGGUUCCCAGGCUCCAUCCUCUGCAUCUCCUUCACCAGCUCCCUCUCCACAAUGCCUGGAAGGUGCCAUGCUCUAUGCCAUUUAGGAUUUUGCGAGUGUGUGUGUCCCUGACACCUCCUGUCACCUGGCUUAUCAUAGGCCCACAUCUUGGAUUCUUCCCUGGAUUUUUUCGUUCUUCCCUUAGAAUCACUUGGCUAAAGAUUUACAGCAUUGAAAGCUGUCUGAGAACUGGAAGCAAGCAGAUCCUGCUGGCUGAAAAAUCCCAGCCCCUUGCACAGCACACUGUAGGUGCUCAAUAAAUUCUUAGCUCCCAGAUAAAGCUGGCAAUAUCAUCUCACCUCCCUAAAUUUUGUGAAUAACAGAUUGAGAAACAUUGUCCAUUUAGUGGGUGAAGGAUCUUGUAGCUGUCUGUGAAUUUGAAGCAAUCUGAAUAUAACCCUCUGCUGUUCCCCUGGGGUAGAUGUGAUUUCUCUUGGGGAAAGUCAUCAACUGUAAGCAUAUCAUGGCAAUAGGCUGGCCCAGAAGAGGCCGAUAUGUACCGGGCUCUGUCAGAAAGGAACAAAGCUAAACAGGGAGCAGGAGCCAGGACUUCCAAGAGCUGCUGUGCUUCUCCAAGGCGCUCAGGAUUUGUCUUGUCAGCGGGGAAGCCGCUGGAGGAUUUAUGAAGGGGAGGACUGUCUGAAUCAGGACUCCACCAAUGAGUAAGCGCUCUUUUUUCCAGUAAGAGUUGUGAUGAAACCAGGGGCUUAUAAAGUAGCGUUUGCCUGUGUAGUGGAUCCAGCUCCGAAAUGCUCAGAAAGGCCACAUUAAGGCUAUGAGGACCACGAGAGAUGUGUGUUUCUGUUCUUUCCUCCCAUGUGCCUGGGUAAGAGCAAGGGUCCCAUCGCCUCUUGAGCAUGGAGUGGAAAGCCCCCCUACAGUGAUGUUCCCAUUACAUGAGAGCCAGUGCCAUGUUCACCAUCCAGCUUAGUGCAUGUGAUGAUGUCCUGCUGGAAGGGGCCUCACCAUGAUUCCAACUGUUACCUGUGCACAUUGUUUUUAUAAAAGAAACAGAAUCUCUGAUGUCUAACUGUGUCUUUGAGGAAAACCACCUGGAAGGCUUCAAUGGAUUGAUCUGAUUUCUCUGGCGUGAUUAGCAUGACUACAUCAGAAUCCACAACUGAGGAUAAACCUGGGUCCCGGGUUCCUGAAGAGAUUCUGCCUGGAACUCAGAAGGACCCCUGAUGUUGGUGGAAGGGCAAUUAAAAUGUACGUUGUCUUGCCCUGAAUGUGUGCGAUAAACCAUGGCUAUGUAGGUCACUACUGUGACUUUGCCAUAGGACAAACACAGAUGUUCCAACAUCAAAUUGUCCUCUUUUCAGAGAUGUUGGAGGGACAUUUCUGCUCACCAUGCUUCAAAAUGACAGUAUUUAUGCAAUAAUGAGAGAAGAAAUAUUUUUUCAAUAUUACAAAGAAUGCCUUUUAAUAUUACUGAUGCAUUCUUAAUGUUAAGUAGUUUAUUUUUGUCUAUUUAAACAUUGGUCCAAGAAGUUAGUCAUAUGUCUUACUAUUCCACCGAAAGGGACAAUAGCAAAAAAAAUGGCUAAGCGCCCCUGAACUAAAAUGUUCAAAUGUGAUCGACAUGCUGGCUUUCCUGGCUUCACUGUUAAUCCACACAGGGAUGAGGCUGACCUUCCUCUCACGCCAUUCUGUGUUUGUUUCCCCUAGUAAUGGGGAAAUCUGGACUGUCAUUCUGUUUUCUUUAUUUAAGGAGAAAAAGAAAAAAAAUAGAAAAAUUGUACAAGUUACACAGAAUUUCAGAAAAAAUAAACUGUAGGAAAUCACUAGUUAAUAGAUUACAUAUUCUCUUAGAAAUAGUUGUUCAAGUUACAAAAUUAAAGCAUAUAAAGUGGACUUUCAAACAGUGAGACUGCAAACAGUUCUGUUCAAUGAUCCAACAAAACUCAGUAAUAUGGUUAUCUAUCUUAUACACUUAAAUAUAUAUGCAGUUAUAUUCUUUAGAGCACUUUCUUUUCCUUUCUUUUGUACAAUGACAAUUACACAUGUUGGGUUUUAUUACUCCCGCAGUUCUUAUUACUUGUUUUUUGAAGAGAGUAAAACCAAAUGUGACAUAACAGAACAGAGUCAGUCAAAGCAAAAGGAUGGACAUAAUAGAUAAUGUAAAAACAAAAUACUAGGUGAACAACAAUGGUUACCAUACUGCCUCUUGCUAUCUUAAAAAGAAUUGCCUAUAUCAUCAGUUACAAUAAAACUGAACAAAACAGUAAAGAAUAAAACCAAAACAUUGGAGACAUUACAGGUCUUUAAAAGAAGAUAAUAGUGGAAUGGGUGUCAUAAUGAAUCUUAUUGUCUUCACAGUUUUGCCUAUACAUUCAAACUUGGUACUAUCAAGCAAAGUAGAAUAGGGGAAAAUCAGUCAAAGCAAGAUGGUGAGGGCUAUACAGGGUUUCAAAUCAAGUUAAUAGGAAAUCAAAGUAGGUUACUAUAAUGCAUCCUAUUUUUUUUAUUUUUUCCUUAAUUAAAAAGAUAAAAAUAAAAAAGUAAAUAAUUUUUUAAAAAGGAGAUUUAAGUAAAAGAGGGCAUAACGACAAAACAGCGCAGGUCAAAGCAUAACCAUUUAAGCAAAAUAGUGUUUCACCACAAGAUAUCCUGACAUAAAAGUAGUUACCAUAGUGUCUCUUUCCUUGAAAUCUUUGAGUAUAACUUAUACUGUAGCAUCAAACAUAUCAAGACAAUGUAAAACCAUUCAAGAGAAUGACAGUAUUACAGGGUAUUUAGAACCAACUAUCAAAAAAUGAACAAUGGUUUCUGUAUAAUCUCCUUGUCUAUAAAGUUUUUGCUUAUAUUAUCACAUAUAAUAAAAUCUAUUAAGAUACAACCUGUUAAGACCAAUGGAGACAGAAGAAUAAAAGCUUGAUGAGACUUCAAAGCAAGAUGAUACUAAAUCAGCACUAGCUAUUAUGAUGUCUUGUUUUCUCCAAAAUGUUCCUACCAUCCAAUCUUCUCUGCCUCAUUUCUGUUGAGCUCUUUUUCUGUCGUUUGUUGUCAGUUUGUCUUCUUCAUUUAGCUUUCUGCUCCAUUCAUUGUGGCCUCUCUGCCACUGUUUCUGAAGUCUUGGUAUUUUCCUUUUUUAGAAUAUCCUGCAGUAUUCUCUGUAGAGUUGAAUUGGUGGUUGCAAAUUCCCCUAGUUCCUCUUUAUCCUGGAAGCGCCUUGUGUUUCCAUCAAUUUCUAGGGACAGUUGUGCAGGAUAUAUCAAUCUUGGCUGGAGGUUGUUAUCUUUCAAAGCUUGAAUUAUUUCCCCCCACGCUCUUCGUGAUUUGAUGGUUUGUGCCGAGAAGUCUGCUGUAAUUCUGAUUGGGUAUUCCCUUGUAAGUGAUCUGUUUAUUGUCUCUGAUAGCUUUUAGUAUUCUGUUCUUAUAUUGGAUUUCUGGAAAUUUGAUUAUUAUAUGCCCGGGUAUAGCUCUGUUUGGGGUGUAGGUGGCUGGGGUCCUGUAUGCCUCAUAAAUCUGAGUAUCUUUACCUUUUGCUAAAUUAGGGAAAUUCUCUUGGAUUAUUUCUGUGAAUAGGUUUUGUAAUCCAUUUGUGUCCAUACCUCUUCUUUUAUGUUCUUAAUUCUUAAGUUAUAGAUCCUCUUAUCAUCUUCUAGCCUUUGUAUUAUUGCUGUUUGUUUUCUUGUUAUUUUUAAGAAGUUUUUCAUUUCAUGCUCCCAAAUUACAAAUCUGCCCUCCAGUUCAGAUAAUCUAUCCUUAGUUUCUUUCAAGCUGUUAUGCCAGCUUUCGAUAGAGUUUUUAGUUUCCUGGUAAUCUCUUUGAACCUGCUUCAUGUAUUCUAUGUUUUCUCUAUUUUCUCAAUCAAACAAUUCUCCCCCUUUUUUCUGUUCUUCCAUUCCACCAUUUAUUUUUUCUUGGGUGGUGUUUAGCAUUUCUCUAACUAUUCUACUUAUAUCUUGCUUUAUUUCGUUAAAUACUUCAUUUUUAAACUCGUCUAUGAGGCUCUGGAGAUAUCGCUUUAUGUCUAUUGGUGCUGUGUCUGAUAUUGCAUGUUUUCUGUCUUCCUUUGCGUUUCCCUUUCCUGGAUCAGUGUUCUCAGGAUUGGAGACUGAGGACCCUUUCUUGUUGCUUCCUCUUCCCAUACUUUUUGUUCCUUCCAUACAAGUGAAUGUAGGAGGCCCAAUUUUUUCUUUUUUUUUUGGUUACGGUUUGUUUGAAUUGUGCUGGCUAGGUGUUCCCGCCCACUGCAGUGUACUAGGGAGACACAGACCUGGGCAGCCUCUGCUGGGCCCGCCCCUCCAGGUCAACCUACCGAAGGCUUCACUGCUAGGGUGCACCUCCAGGUGCUGGGACCUGAUUUGGGCUAGCCUACUGGGUCUUACUUGGCGGCGUCACACAGGCCAGGCACUCCACACCAAUCCCGCUUGAGAGGGGAAUAUGCAACUAAUGUCACUGCAGCAUCCUGUUCCAGCAAGUCUGCCUGGUCCCAGUAUGUCCUUUGCUGGAGCCUCCUACUCUAUGAAAGGGUCCCCUUCUGCUCACUCACCGCAAGUCGAUGUAGGGCUCCCUGCCAGUCCCGCUUUCAACUCCGUUCGCAGAUUCCAGCUCUCAAAGGUUUCACGAGUCUCUCUCCCUGCCCAGCAGAUUUGGACGCAGCAGCGGCAGCAGGAAAUUCAAAUCACGGCUUCCAGUUGUGCAGGUUCUAGCUUCCACGCUGAGAUUUCAUCUGUUCCUGUUAUAGCACCAGGAUUGGAUUUCCAGUUGGUUUCUCUUAGCUUAGUUCAUUCCUGGGUUGGCAGGGUAUAUCUCCCCUUGCUUAGGACUCCUUGUACUGCACCAUUCCUGGAUUUUAAGUAGGGUAUCUCAGAGAGCCUCCGUAGCUGUUGCUAUCUAUCUACCAUGUUCUUCCGGAAGUCCAGGAAUGUCAUUCUUUUAAGUACUAUUUUCUCUAUAUUAAAAUCCUGUCUUUACUUUUUUAUUGUUGGCCUUCUGAGUUACACUUGAGCAUAAAUUUAUUUUUCCUAGGGAUGCUAGAUUUAGUAAGAAAAAAUAUAGGAUCAUUGUGCUAUCUAUAUCUGUCUCUACUACAUAUAGUGCACACACACACACACACACACACACACACACACAUAUAUAUAUAUAUAUAUAUAAAGUCCAUCUCUGACUCUGUAUUUCAGAUAAUAAUUUUUAGUGUAAGCAUGUAUCAAAUAUUGCCUGUGGCAUACUUAUACUAAAAAUUACUUGCUGUCCCUCUAAGAUGCAAAUUCAAAGAACAUCUUGUAUCAGACCUGGCAAACUCUUAACAUCACCAAAACUGGCCAGUCACCCUCCGCUAAUUAAGAGCAGAUGGCAUGUGCUCUCUUACCUUGUUUACUGGUGGACAUUAAUGAGCUACCAAAAGUCUAAGACUUUGAUCAAAUGUGAAAGCAUUUUGGAAUUUGAAAAUAUCUUGCUGUCACUCGUAGAUCACAAGAGUCUGUUUUCAACAUUGAGAAAACACAUGCCUCGGAUACAUUACUAGUCCUUAAAGCAAGCUGAGCAUAAUACAAGAAUUUGGGGAUUUGCUGUGUUCCCCUGGGAUCCUGCGAGAUCCAGUUUCUGUAUCAAAGAAAUGUGGUCAAAGUUUAUACUGACAGUGAGACAGGAUUGUGAAACUUUUGACACUCAUCCCAUGGUUAAAUAACUUGGUUCCAAAUCAAACAAAAGUUGUAAUUUCCUUUGUCUGGGAUAAGAGUCCCAUUAGGAUAAUAAUGAGCAUGAAAAAUUAACACAAAGAGUCCUAUCUACAGGUGAAUGACCCUGACCCUUACCCUCAGUCUUCCCUAGACACAGACCAUUCCAAACGUAUUUUAGAUGAAAGGAAAAGUAACUAGCAUGAAUCCAGGGAAGUAAGCCAGCCUGAAAGCUGUGCCUAUGUAUUUAAAAGGAGCUUUCUGUCUUUCUAUACCUUCAUCCCCAUCAGAAACGUAAGCGAAAAAAGAAAUAUACACCUGAGGGUUGAAAGUUGCUAGGCUCAAGGUGUGCAUGAGAGAAAUUCAUGGAGGGGAAGACCAAGUUGAAGCCUUGCAAAUUAUAGAAUGCUACAUCACAAAAAGCCAAACCAACUCCCCAGAUCCAAGGAGGAGUUAAAGCAAACACCAUCCGUGCUUGCUGCCUGCCUGUUCUGUUCCUCUUUGCAUGCCACGACUAUGCCCAGUUACAUCAAAUCUUUCCGUGCCAGGGCUGUCUGCAGAAACAUGCCUUCCAGCUUGAUUUAUUCCAGGCUACAGUCAAACCAACCCGAGUACUCUACACUUCCUUUCCCUUGACCAAAUGGCACCCCGCUGAACCGUCUCCAUCACUGCGUUUGUAUUAACCUAGACAAGAAUAGUAAGUGAGAUUUACCAGCCAGGGGUAGAAAUCUAUUCCCUGAAGAGAACAUUUGGGGCAGUCCUCUUGGGAACAUAAUGCAAUACCAUCCCCCCUCCUUUUUCCCCCUGGACAUAAAUUUUCCUGUUUCACCAGUCAUCACACAACAAUGCAUGGCCAAGCCAUGCUGUGAUGAAAGGGGAGAAUAUGCUUAUUACCCAAGUUCUUCACAUGUUGGAGCAAGAGAGAUCCAGGGUGGUACACUGAAGGAAAUUUCCAUUUGCUCUGAGCUGCUGCACGUUUUUUGCUCUAUAGGAAAGUUAGCUAUUAUUAAGUAAUCAUGUUCAGCUGAGGUUGGUCACUUGUAACAACAGACAGAUGUAUAAUGUUUUAUUUGGGUUGGCCAACUCUCUCGCAAAUAAAGGACCUGAAAUUAAACUGUCUUUACAAAAAUAUUCUGCAAAUGAUACCUCUGACUUAUUCCAGUACUCAGUUUCUUUGCCAUGGAAAAUGGAAAGCGAGUCUCCCAUGGAACCCAGGAUCUGUGUAAACUUGUCUCUGCUGAGUGGGGGAAGGUUAGCGUUCUAUGGAACAGAAAAGAACAAAAAGAAAGAAAGAAACUGCAUAGAGGAAUCAAGGGGAGAACUAUGCAAACCACAUUUAGGGAUGGAAAAUGAUUUUUUUCAGUACUUAUGGAAUUUGAAACAAUAAUAAUGGAAUGGAAACAGAAAAACAAGGCUAAAUAUUUGACCACAGAGGCAAACUGGAUCAUUAGACGCUCACAUGCAAUGCAAGUGUGGGUUGUGUCUCGAAAGGAAUCCUCCUUGCUUUUCCAGUGUAUGAUAACUCUCCAGUCUAUGGAGCCCCUUUGCAAACUCUGGCCACAUAAUCUGGCAAUGGAGUUCUUUUUAAAGACACCAUUUCUUGGCAGGCUCCCCACCCCCACCCCACCCAAUUCUGGUUGAGUAGCAGGCACUCAUUCCUCAGUAGCUUUCCCAAGCCAACCUGAUGCUAAGGUUGAGUGGAGGGAGGGAGCUGUGCUCAUCAGUCUUCCCUGUCUUUGGCAUCCAGUGAGACUGACAGCUCAUCUCAAGAAGCUUGGUGAUAGUGACAGUGAAGAUAGACAUCUGCCUGUAUCAUGAAUCACAAAAGCUGUUUUGCAGCUGUAACCUGUAGUGGGUCAGUAACCUUGCACAAAUUGCUCAAGCCUUUGGAAUCUCUUUCUCCCCGCAUGUAGAGAAAAGGUUUGGACAAGAUUGGUUCUCCUAGUUUCCAAAUGGCUUCACAGGCACAGAUAGCCCUGUGUACUUAUGCAGAUUUCUCAGCAUUGAGUUUCCCAUAAUCUGUAGCACCCAAAUGCCCAGUGUAGGUCUACAGGGGUGAUAUAUUUGGGGGUUCAAAGGCAAGCUUUCCAGAAUUGUUUGAUCCUUUACCCCUUGAAUUGUGUUUCAUCCGUAUUACAUACCUCAGAGAGGACCCCAAGCUGGCUAGGUCCUCCAACGUUCUUGGCCAGUGUGAUAAUGAAAUCAUUCCAAUGUGACACCUCUCAUCCCAUCCAAGAAAGAAACCCACAGUGAUUUUCACCUGAUUGCUUCCUUACCCAUCAGAAACCUUCAACUGUUUGUUUUUUGUGUUUGUUUUUGAACAAGGCAGUAUUCCUGAACUCCUAUCCCUUAGGAAAUCAUCCUGGAUACCUGAAAAUCCCACUGAACAUCUCCCAGCCUUGUAGAUGUUUUCUCAUGGACUUCCUUCUUUUUCCUGGCCCUAGCUCCCUUCCCAUGCACUUGAUCAUUAUCUCUAUAUUCUCUGUAGCCCAGUAAAUGGGGAAUGGAGUACACCAUGGCUUUCAAAGUGUGGUCUCACAGUCAUAGCAUCAGUGCCUCCUAGGCAGUUAGCAGACUUGCAGACUGUCCAGGCCUCCAGGUAGUUCUGAUGGUCCCUGAAGUGUUGGAGUAUCGCGAGGAGCUACUGACUCAGACAGACCCGUCAAAGAACCCUUCUCUCUGAACGAUAAUCGAGUCUAUUUAGGAACUAUCUGAAUAUUCAAUUAAUAUAUAACUCCUUAUACAAGGCCUGGUACAGGGUAAACAGUGAGUCAAUUAUAGCUGGUUAUUCUACAGUUCAUGCAAACAUCUCAUGAGCAGAAAACUUACGAUGUUCCCAUCAUGUUGCAUGGUGGUGGUGUGCAGAUUGGAGCACUGGAGGCAGAUGGAUCUGGUUUGUUAAAUCUUCCACAUAUUAGCUUUAUGAGCAUGUGUGACUUAUUUAGUCAUUCUAAGCUUAGUUUCCUCCUUUGGAAAAAGAGAAAUUUCUUUCUUCCCAAAGUUAAGAGAAAGGCUCAACAAAAUAAUGUCUGUCACUGCUUUGAAAGGCACCCCAUCCCUUCAAGCCCCUUCUACCUACCCAGUGAGACCUAGCAAUGAUAGAAAGAAAUGAUCCUAGGCUGAAGAUCAUGAAGCCCUCAGCUCUGUGAACCGGGGACCCCUAAAUCCUCAAAAUAUUGGACUGACGGGUAGGAUGCAUUGACAGGGUUCUCUGAAAAGCUACCUUGGUAGAUUUAAAGGUUCACUUAGGGUAAUCUAAUGAGAAUCAGGCACCUUCUUAGGACCUUGUCUGGGAUCAGGAUUUUUUUGUCCUGUUGAAAUCUUGUUAGAUUUGGAUUCUUCCUCUACUGAGUAUCCUGACACAGGUCAACACUUGGAGUUUACUUUAGGAAUAUUUCAGGACUUUAUGCCUUUCCUUUCAUUCACCUGUGAGUUGAGGAACAUAAUUUAAGAUACAAAAACAUGGCAUAAGAACCCUCUCCAUGGCCAAGGUUUCGCCUCAGUGACAACUCCCAAAACAUUGUGACCCACAGUGAUAGGGACAUUCUCAGUUGUGUUAUAAGUUCUUUGAUUCAGCUGGAACUUGACUCUAAGUGUUCCCUCACCCCUCCUGACUGGACAGUGAACAGCCCCAUCUGACAUCUAUCUGGGAGUGAUGGCCAACCCAGAAGACAGUCCAGUGCCUCUGAUCAGGGAUAGUGUGUGUCACAGCCACUCACACGCCAUAAGCCAGAGCAAGUCACAUGGCUACUCCUGAAACAGAAAGUGGAAAGAGUCCACCACAGACAGAGCCAGGGAAAGAGCCUGUGUCUAGGGAUCCAGCAGAAGUACUCUGAACAGCCCGAGCUCACACAAUCAUCCCUACAACCCAAACUCUGCUUACUAGGCUUAGAGCUCACAUCUUCAAAAUGGACAUCUCCAAGCUGGAGGAAGCCAGCUUGUAAAUGUACACCUCACUGUGCACUUCCUUCCAGUCCCUAUGAGUCUUAUAGAGGAGAAAGGACAAUUCCUUAGCCUCCAAGAAGCCACCAUUUUCCCCUGCUGUCCUUUGUCCUCAGCGUAUGAGAGGAAAAGAAAGUGUGAGGAAGGUAAGUGAUACGUGGCCUGGAGAAAAGGACUAAAGGAGUACCAUUCAGAAUCUGCGAAGGGUCAGCUUUGGGCAUCUUGUGUCCAUUUCUGAGAUCACUUGUGCAGAGUCAUUUUUGUCUUCAACUGGCAUUGUCAAGGUCAAGAAUUGGAUUCAGAUCUGUCUCACAGACUCUGAAGGAAAUCACGGAUUGCUUGCCCAGCAAGCAAGAGCCUGGCCCAUGGCCAAAGCCAAAGGGUCCCUUGCAGUGAGGUCUUCGUGUGACCAGUCACAAGGUCAGAGGGGAAUGGCUAAGCAUCGCUGGUUUUAUUUUCAAUUAAAACUCUCUGAGCUCAGUGAACCCCAAGUAGAUUCUUGUCAAGCAUUUUCCCCACUUAAUAUUUAAACCUGUGUAUACUUAAAAUGAAAUUUAAUCCAGAAUAUUUGGAGUCCGUAGAGAAAGAGAGAGAGAGAGAGAGAGAGAAAGAGAGAGAGAGAGAGAGAGAGAGAGAGAGAGAGAGAGAGAUCAUCCAAAAAAACUGAUGUGUCAGAGAUAUGGGCUGUAUAAGAAAGCUUUUAAGGCAACUUUCUUUUACAAACAGGAGGUUGUGUUUUGUCCGGGCUUGGAAGUCAGAUCUUUCAUUUCUAAUUUUAGUCUGGAGAAGCGAAAUUAUGAUUUGAUUCAGGUUUCAUUCCUUCACAGUUCACCAGCCCCAUGAAAGUGUGGGCUGUGGGGUCAAUCGAGACUCGAUGGAGAAAAUCCCCCUUGGGAAUCGGUGCCUCUCCACUUUUUUCUACAGGUGAAAAGAAAACACGUUUCUGCUUUGUUCUAUCACAGUUUUUCCAGGAGGAACCCAUUGGAAACUCACACAAUUAACUCAGUGGAAGUCUGAGAUGUCGGAAGGUCUCCAUGUUGUACUAAGUAGGAAGGAGGAAAAGUCAUCUCUACACCAGGUCUUUGUUUUAAGAGAGCAUAAUGUGACAGGUGACAUUUUUGAGACUUAGUGAAAAAAAGGUCCUGUGCAAAUACAAGUUAACUAGCAAAAGUGAUGGGUAAAAAUCCAUCACAGGAAUUAAGAUUUUAGCUAAUCAUUAGUUAUAAUCAUUUGUAAUGUAUUAUAAUAUAUAUUUAACACAAUAUACACAUCAUCCUAUUUGUAAAUUUAGUAUAAAUUUGGUAAUAUAUAAUGUUCAUGUAAUAUUAUGUUAUAUUACAUAAUAUUUGAGUCAUAUUUAUAUAUGGACCUUACAGUUUUGUUCAGAUUCUCCAUAUGCUCCUGCUUUAAUA
RNA transcript from Cavia porcellus (domestic guinea pig), 25322 nucleotides. It is a transcript of the gene named potassium inwardly rectifying channel subfamily J member 15, with no coding region annotated. The transcript is spliced from 3 exons. The record is from RefSeq and is a predicted model, not a curated record. Lineage: Eukaryota; Metazoa; Chordata; Mammalia; Rodentia; Caviidae.